CCUACGGGGGGCAGCAGUCGGGAAAAUUUUGCAAUGCGCGCAAGCGUGACAGAGCAAGCCAGAGUGCUUUUCUAUAAUUGAAAAGCUUUUGUGGAAUGUAAACAGUUCCACGAAUAAGGACUGGGAGAGACUGGUGCCAGCCGCCGCGGUAAUCCCAGCAGUCCAAGUCGCAGCCACAUUUGUUGGGUCUAAAACAUCCGUAGCUUGCUUUGUAAGUCUUUUGUGAAAUCGGGACUCUUAAGGUUCCGGCGGGCAAAAGAUACUGCUUAGCUUGAGACCGGGAGACGUAAGAAGUACAGAUGGAGUAGCGGUAAAAUGUGUUGAUCCUAUCUGGACUAACAAUAGCGAAGGCAUCUUACGAGAACGGAUCUGACAGUGAGGGAUGAAGGCUAGGGGCGCAAAGUGGAUUAGAUACCCCGGUAGUC
This 425-nucleotide ribosomal RNA is filed under the name uncultured bacterium. RNAcentral describes it as "bacterial SSU rRNA". It matches the Rfam family "Archaeal small subunit ribosomal RNA", at positions 322 to 746 of the family's 1478-position model. The record is from RNAcentral.